AUGCACGCUGGCGGCGUGCCUAAUACCUGCAAGUCGAGCGAACAGAUGAGGAGCUUGCUCCUCUGACGUUAGCGGCGGACGGGUGAGUAACACGUGGAUAACCUACCUAUAAGACUGGGAUAACUUCGGGAAACCGGAGCUAAUACCGGAUAAUAUAUUGAACCGCAUGGUUCAAUAGUGAAAGACGGUUUUGCUGUCACUUAUAGAUGGAUCCGCGCCGCAUUAGCUAGUUGGUAAGGUAACGGCUUACCAAGGCAACGAUGCGUAGCCGACCUGAGAGGGUGAUCGGCCACACUGGAACUGAGACACGGUCCAGACUCCUACGGGAGGCAGCAGUAGGGAAUCUUCCGCAAUGGGCGAAAGCCUGACGGAGCAACGCCGCGUGAGUGAUGAAGGUCUUCGGAUCGUAAAACUCUGUUAUUAGGGAAGAACAAAUGUGUAAGUAACUAUGCACGUCUUGACGGUACCUAAUCAGAAAGCCACGGCUAACUCCGUG
RNAcentral lists this ribosomal RNA (496 nucleotides) under uncultured bacterium. RNAcentral describes it as "partial 16S ribosomal RNA". It matches the Rfam family "Bacterial small subunit ribosomal RNA", at positions 29 to 507 of the family's 1533-position model. The record is from RNAcentral.